CCUACAUAGCCGAGUUCCAAAGACCGGGUUCAAGCCGGUCUGACCAACUUUUGAGUGAGGUGCGUGCGAGUUGGCAACGAACAAAAGCCGGGCCAAAACGGCAGCUGAUUGGGAGGCGGACAGAUGGUCAGACGGAUGGACGGACGGACUUCGGCAGCAGCAGCAGCAGCAUCUGGCGCUGACCUUGAAGACGUAAAUGUGAAGACGCAUCUACAUAAAUAUCUAUUGUAUCUCCGGCUCUUUUUGUCUGGCAUCGGGCAUCUCGUAUUUGUGUAUUGAAAGCGACAGUCCGAACAAGAAGGGAAGAAUUCUGCCCCAAACUUGUCGAAUUUCCAUCACCGAUGGACAACGCCCCCGCGCACAGAAGCACUCAAUCCGAUUAGCACUCGGAGCCAUUGAUCACAGCCAGAUUAAUUAUGCAAAUCCAGCAUGAUAAAUGCAGCUCGCUUCAUAUGCCCUCGAAAAGCUGCGGAAAAGACCCAAAUAAUAAAUAUUAAGCAGCUGCGAUUCAUAUCCAUUUUCAAGGGCCCCGAAUGCCCUCAAGAUCCAUUUGUAGGCGGACAGGCUAA
This is a long non-coding RNA of Drosophila erecta, 569 nucleotides long. RefSeq lists it as uncharacterized. The transcript is spliced from 2 exons. NCBI's taxonomy places the organism in Eukaryota, Metazoa, Arthropoda, Insecta, Diptera, Drosophilidae. The record is from RefSeq and is a predicted model, not a curated record.